CACAGUCCCUCCUACCGCGAGCCCGGACAGACAUACGCUUAUUAUCCUAGCAGGGUAUCUGAUGACCGGCAGGGCAUGAGAUCUACCUAGAUCUCAAGCUUGAACCACAACCAAAAACCACCCACAGGGCUACACCAAUCAGAGGUCAUAGAUGAGCUGUCCCAGAGGAAAAUGCAAGUCAGUAGUGGAGUUGAGAGUUACAUCACUGCCCUUCUUAUUAUAGCUCUGAACACUGCAUGGGAUCCUUAUUUCAGAUGAGCAGAUGGGUGUACCAGAGGACCACAGACUCCGCCCCUCCCUGAUUAUGAACCUGACACACCUGGGAGGUCCCAGAGGCCAAAAGGGGGGCCUGGAAGACCACGGAGAGAUAGGCUUGAGAGACAGAGGCAUGGGAGACGAGGUGGCAAAAAUGGUGGAGUGAACUGUGUCAGGCGUUGGCGGCUGCAAGCCCGGACGGGGGGCGAUGAAGGUUGCCGUGCAGGACUUGGGAGGAGACGACGCCAGCGAGCAGAGAAGCGAAGGGAGCUGUUCUGCUGCUGGAAUAACUGGAGGCCAGAUCACGGUGGGGAAUCAGUGGCCAGAGGGACAGCGCCCUACCUCCCACGGUAAGACGGGCUGGUGCCGGCUGGCGUGCUACAGGAAAGCGGCGGGCAGAGUUAAGAGCUCUGCCCAUCCGGGGUAGGUCUCGCGUCUUAUCGCACUAUAAUCAACUGUAGCCACAAUAAAGAAUAGUGACUGUCGCUGCCCCUCUCUUCCAGCACUCUGGAGCGGAAACGCUGACAGGACGGCGAGGACGCUGCCGGGUUUUUCCUUGUCCACUCCGAUUGUCUGGAUUUUUUAACUUUUAGUGACU
Molecule: long non-coding RNA, 853 nt
Organism: Pundamilia nyererei
Lineage: Eukaryota; Metazoa; Chordata; Actinopteri; Cichliformes; Cichlidae
Exons: 4
Source: RefSeq, a predicted model, not a curated record